GAGCUGUACGUUAACAUAAUACAAAAAAAUAUGUGUAUCAAUAAUUGGCACGUAAAUUAAUAUCUUGCUUAUAAAAAGAGCUAUCCAACUAUAUAGCUGGUACUCUUUCGUACCAUUAAUUAUUUGUGACGUCAAAAUAAUUUCAAAAAUAGUCUAGUAAUUCCACUUUAAUUUGUGUGACUAUACUAAAUAUAUAUGUAAUUUUUGCAAUAAAAGAUACUAUAAUACUUACACGUCAUAAGUGAUUAUUAAUAGUGUCAUAUAAAAUAAAACGACAGUUUGCUUACCUAGUGAGGAAUUCAGAGAUGGGAUGAGCGGAUAAGAUAGGCGAACGGUCGCCGUUAGCGAUCCGUUGAAUCUCCGGUUGAAGAUCUUCAUAAGUUACGACCGGAAUUCUGGAUUUAAAGGUUUCACGGUCACUGACGCCGUCAAGUUUAAAGCGCUUGAGGUACUCCGUUUGGGAGUUUCUAGUCAAUAUCUCAUCCAAGACUCUUUGUUGAACGGCAUCAGCAUUUCUAGUCAUUUCUUCAAUGAAUUGAAGUGCUUUUGCAUCUUUUUCACAUGCAGGAGGACCCAAUGGAGAUGAAAGUACUGAAUCAACAGCCAUAUUUUCAGAGUAAAAAAAAAAAAGGUAAUUAAGAAAUGAAAGAGAUUUUUCUUUGUUAAUUACUUAAGAGAGUUGGGAGAGUUGUGUAUGGAAAAGGUGUGCGGAGGAUGGAGUAAGAGGGGUGUAUAAAUAGAGAGGAAAGAGGGGGUGACACGUCACGUGCCAUGUCAUAUGUGGGGCCCAAAAGGGCGGCAAAAACAAAAAGAAGGUUGGAAGGUUGGAAGGAAGUCGACGCGGGGGCCGUGGACAAUUUUGUAAUAUCAAUGGUGUUUAGUGAAGAGGGGACAAGAUGGGGGCCCUUAACACGUCUACAAAGCCCUAAUUUAGGGGUGCAAUGUGGGGCCCAAUAUAAGCCACGUCAUCUGGGACACAGCUUACGGUUUGGUUUUGGACUGGGGUGGUGCAUCACCUAACCACGCGGCUCGAUUCUCGUAACAUUGUUGGACCCCGACUGCGAUCGCCCACUUCAUUUUCCGUUACAUGAGUCAUGACCACUUAAGAUACAUUUGUAUAUUUUGACAAGACUUGAGAACAUAUUUAAAAAAACAACGUAAACAAAAUAAUGAGUAGUAUUUUCUUCGAUUAAAAAAGAACGAGUUACUUUUUUUUAGUUCGCUUAAAAAAAAAAUGAUCUUUUUUUUUUUUACAAUACUUUAAUUUCAACUUUACGCGUGGCAUGUUUAAAACCACAAGUUUAAACAACAUUUUGGUACAUUUGACACAGUUUUAAUUUAAUGCCACAAAAUUUAAAAGUUUUCUUUAUUUUCUUAAAUUUUAUGUCAAGUUAAAGUAGGUCAUUCUUUUUUAAACGAAGAAAGUAUAAAUUACAAUAGUAUAACUUAAAAUCUAUAAAAGACAUGUAAUGAAAUUUUGGUCAGAAAAACUUGGCUAAUUUUUGAAAUUUCAACCGUGUUAUGUAAAUUGAUAGAAAGAAAUUGUAUAUUUAUAUUAAUAAAAAUAUGAAAUUAAUAUCCCAUACAGGAAAACAGACACUUAAAUGCUGUGUUUUCCUGCGUGUAUUAUGCAAGUAGCCCACAAGGCAGGAGGAACAAAAAGUGUUGUUCCUUCUUAAUACAUAUGCCAUGCAUCGUCCAAACAAAAUGAUGCAUAUAAAAUGAUAUUUUAAGUUUCUCUCGAAAAUAAUGCUUAAAAAAAGAGAUCAAAAGAAUAUUGAUAUUGUUAUCUGAGAAGAGGAUAAGCAAGCUAAUAAUAAGUGAUGCAUUUGAUUGAACAUAUCACAACAACAUGCAUGCAUCUUAGAAAUCAAACGAUCUAGUUAUUCUGUCCCUUUUUCUUGGCUUAUAAUUAAUUAAUUAAUUAACCAUAUACGAUGAUAUACUCUAAAACAUAUCCUUUCUGGGUGUGCUUCAGUCAGUUUGGUUUGGUUUAUCGAUUUUUUACUUUUAAAUAUGUUAAAUCAAUAAUCAAAUUAAUAAGAUACUUUUUAUCGGUUUUCGGUUUAUCGGUUCGAUUUUCGGUUUAACCGAUAAGAAAAUACUCAUAAAAUAGAAAUAGUAGUAACUAACAUGAAAAAAAAUGAAUCUUAGUUGCAACCAAAAAUCCUACAUGAUGUGUUUUAAUUUACAAGAAUCUUCAAGUUAGAACUAAAUGUUAGGAGAAAUUAAGAGUUUGUAUAAUUAAAAUAAUAGGUUUGUUAAUUUGUAGAAAUUAAAGGGAAAUUAAG
Molecule: long non-coding RNA, 2291 nt
Filed under: Capsicum annuum
Lineage: Eukaryota; Viridiplantae; Streptophyta; Magnoliopsida; Solanales; Solanaceae
Description: long non-coding RNA (CANN_LNC013233)
Source: RNAcentral